This is a non-coding RNA of Girardinichthys multiradiatus, 642 nucleotides long. The record is from the annotation of a RefSeq genome assembly. NCBI's taxonomy places the organism in Eukaryota, Metazoa, Chordata, Actinopteri, Cyprinodontiformes, Goodeidae.
UCUCUGCUGUGUAUUUCUUUCCUGCUGACUGCUUCCUAAUUUGUGUCUCCAGCCUCAGGAUGAUGAACAUGCUCACGGUUCUUCUUCUUGUCCUCUCUCUGAGAUGUUGCACAAGUCAGAGUAUGGAGUCCAUUCCUUCCAGUUCAGUGGUGAAAAGUCCUGGAGAGACUCUCAGUUUGUCCUGCAGAGCAUCUGGCAUCACAAUUAGCAACUACGCUAUGCACUGGAUCAGACAGCCUGCAGGAAAAGGACUGGAAUGGAUAGGAAGAGGGUUCAAUGACCCCAACAGUAACACAUAUGCCAGCAGUGUGGGGGGAAGAAUUGAAAUCAGAAAGGACAGCAGCAACAACAUGGUGCAUCUGAAACUGUCCAACCUGAAACCAGAGGACUCUGCUGUGUAUUACUGUGCCAGGGAAGCACAGUGUUUCAUGUGAGCACAAUGGCUGCACAAAAACUACAUGAACUAUAUUGUUUGUGAGGGCCUGAAGAGGGCAGUAGAAGACUGAUGACACCAACAGACAGAGACAUGCUAGACUUAAGAAGUAUGAACUUGUUUUGAUAAUUUAUAGUAAAUUAUUUCCAAAAGCUUUAUACAAGUACAUAUAAUAUUACUUUUAAGUAUUAACAUAUUUCAUAUCAAAA